This 500-nucleotide ribosomal RNA is filed under the name uncultured bacterium. RNAcentral's name for it is "bacterial SSU rRNA". It matches the Rfam family "Bacterial small subunit ribosomal RNA", at positions 899 to 1397 of the family's 1533-position model. The record is from RNAcentral.
ACUCAAAGGAAUAGACGGGGGCCCGCACAAGCAGUGGAGCAUGUGGUUUAAUUCGAAGCAACGCGAAGAACCUUACCGGGGAUUGACAUCAUGUCGAACUUGGUAGAAAUACCGAGGUGCCUACGGGAGCGACAAGACAGGUGGUGCAUGGUUGUCGUCAGCUCGUGUCGUGAGAUGUUGGGUUAAGUCCCGCAACGAGCGCAACCCCUAUGCUUAGUUGCUAGCACGUCAAGGUGAGCACUCUAAGCAGACUGCCACAGAGAAUGUGGAGGAAGGUGGGGACGACGUCAAAUCCUCAUGCCCUUCAUACCCCGGGCUACACACGUGCUACAAUGGCCUGUACAGCGGGAAGCGAAGGAGCGAUCUGGAGCGAAUCUCUGAAAGCAGGUCUCAGUUCGGAUUGCAGGCUGCAACUCGCCUGCAUGAAGUCGGAAUUGCUAGUAAUCACGGAUCAUCACGCCGUGGUGAAUGCGUUCCCGGGCCUUGUACACACCGCCCGU